AACGAACGCUGGCGGCAGGCUUAACACAUGCAAGUCGAACGAUCUCUUCGGAGAUAGUGGCAGACGGGUGAGUAACGCGUGGGAACCUACCUUAUUCUACGGAAUAACAGUUAGAAAUGACUGCUAAUACCGUAUACGCCCUUCGGGGGAAAGAUUUAUCGGAGUAGGAUGGGCCCGCGUUGGAUUAGCUAGUUGGUGGGGUAAUGGCCUACCAAGGCGACGAUCUAUAGCUGGUCUGAGAGGAUGAUCAGCCACACUGGAACUGAGACACGGUCCAGACUCCUACGGGAGGCAGCAGUGGGGAAUAUUGGACAAUGGGCGCAAGCCUGAUCCAGCCAUGCCGCGUGAGUGAUGAAGGCCUUAGGGUUGUAAAGCUCUUUCAACGGUGAAGAUAAUGACGGUAACCGUAGAAGAAGCCCCGGCUAACUUCGUG
Molecule: ribosomal RNA, 433 nt
Filed under: uncultured bacterium
Lineage: Bacteria
Description: bacterial SSU rRNA
Rfam family: Bacterial small subunit ribosomal RNA
Source: RNAcentral